Molecule: long non-coding RNA, 938 nt
Filed under: Homo sapiens (human)
Lineage: Eukaryota; Metazoa; Chordata; Mammalia; Primates; Hominidae
Description: non-protein coding lnc-TMEM189-UBE2V1-3:4
Source: RNAcentral
AAGCUACACCACAACAGCCCAGUAUAACCCAUCAAAGCCAGGCUGAUGCUCAGGGCUUCAACAGAAUUGGGCAGAACAGCCACGAACCCCCUCCUAAAACUACGAUCUGGACCUCAGCAGACACCAUCAGGAUGAUGACAGAGAACACUCUCUCCACCAGGCCUGACCAAAGGUCUGGCUAGGCUGAUGGUUACGAAAGAGAGGGAGAAAGAGAAGAGACUUAGGGGACCCCUCCCCCGCAAGCAAUCCUCCACGGGGAAGGCUGGCCGUGGGAAGCUGUCCCUACCCAGUGCAGACUCGAGUCUGGCUUGAGAGCCCUGGCCCACCUCUGGACAGGGUCCUGAUCCAAGGCUGGCGCUUCAUCUCAGGGCAGGGGCAAGGUGGGGGGACCCUGCCUGUCUGCCUGGAAGACACCCACAUGGCUUCCUUCGAUUCGUCCUGCAGAUCUCCCUGGCAUCACUUUCUGAGACACCGUACUCAACCCCCUCCAACAGGGAAAGCCCCCGCGCUAUGUCCUGACUCCCCCAGCUGCGCCUGGCUCCCCCACCUGUGCCUGGCUCCUCCAGAGACACCUGUUCCAGCCCAGUGUGCGGUGUGCUCAUUGUGCCAUCUCCUUGGGUGGAGUGAUGGCUCCAUGAGGGCAGGCAGCUUUAGGUUCAAGUUGGUUUGGAAUCCAACAGGCCUGACAUCAUCAUUUCUCACCAGUGUAACCUUGGCUCAUGAAUUCUGCUUUCUGAGCCUCAGUUUCCUCAUCUGCAGAAUGGGGGCAGCACAGAGCCUCCCUCAUUGCCUUGUUGUGAGCGUUCCCCAGGAUCAUGAGUGCUUUAAAAGGUGCUUAGGUCAGCUGAGCACAAUGGUUCACACCUGCAAUCCCAACACUUUGAAGGCUGAGACGGAAGGAAGAUCGCUUGAGCCCAGGCGUUCAAGACCAGCCUGAG